GACGAACGCUGGCGGCGUGCUUAACACAUGCAAGUCGAACGGAAAGGCCCUGCUUUUGUGGGGUGCUCGAGUGGCGAACGGGUGAGUAACACGUGAGUAACCUGCCCUUGACUUUGGGAUAACUUCAGGAAACUGGGGCUAAUACCGGAUAGGAGCUCCUGCUGCAUGGUGGGGGUUGGAAAGUUUCGGCGGUUGGGGAUGGACUCGCGGCUUAUCAGCUUGUUGGUGGGGUAGUGGCUUACCAAGGCUUUGACGGGUAGCCGGCCUGAGAGGGUGACCGGCGACAUUGGGACUGAGGUAGGGCCCAGACUCCUACAGGAGGCAGCAGAGGGAAAUAUGGCACAAUGGGCGGAAGCCUGAUGCAGAAACGCCGCGUGCGGGAUGACGGCCUUCGAGUUGUAAACCGCUUUCGACUGUGACGAAGCGUGAGUGACGGUAAUGGGUAAAAAAGCACCGGCUAACUACGUG
This 468-nucleotide ribosomal RNA is filed under the name uncultured bacterium. Its description in RNAcentral is "partial 16S ribosomal RNA". It matches the Rfam family "Bacterial small subunit ribosomal RNA", at positions 28 to 507 of the family's 1533-position model. The record is from RNAcentral.